UACGCAGGGGGCUAGCGUUGCUCGGAAUCACUGGGCGUAAAGCGCACGUAGGCGGCUUGUUAAGUCAGGGGUGAAAUCCUGGAGCUCAACUCCAGAACUGCCUUUGAUACUGGCGAUCUUGAGUUCGGGAGAGGUGAGUGGAACUGCGGGUGUAGAGGUGAAAUUCGUAGAUAUUCGCAAGAACACCAGUGGCGAAGGCGGCUCACUGGCCCGAUACUGACGCUGAGGUGCGAAAGCGUGGGGAGCAAACAGG
Molecule: ribosomal RNA, 253 nt
Filed under: uncultured bacterium
Lineage: Bacteria
Description: partial 16S ribosomal RNA
Rfam family: Bacterial small subunit ribosomal RNA
Source: RNAcentral